UGCAGUGUCGGUUUUUCUCAUUCAUGGG
Molecule: non-coding RNA, 28 nt
Filed under: Mus musculus (house mouse)
Lineage: Eukaryota; Metazoa; Chordata; Mammalia; Rodentia; Muridae
Source: RNAcentral